AUGGAUGGCACAUUCCCUCAGGCUCUCUCCCUGUCCAGUGCAGUCCCAUCACGGCGGCCCACGGCAUUGCCGCCAACUAGCACCGUCGUGCUUUCUCCUCUCGGCCUCCAUCCUUCCCCCACGGAGUGCAUCCUCAAGACUGUGUUCUGGAACGUCCGUGGCCAUCACUCUAGGGCUAAGCACACCGCGGUCCACUCUGUAAUUUCCUCGAUUUCUCCGAACAUUGUGUGUCUUCAAGAAACGAAGCUCGAUUCGUUCUCGUUGCCCCUUGUCGUGGAGACGCUCGGCUCAUGCUUCUUGGAUUACUUCUUCCUCCUGGCCUCCGGCACCCGGGGCGGCAUCCUUCUUGCUUGGAACCGUAACGAGAUUGCUAUCUCU
This 378-nucleotide ribosomal RNA is filed under the name Triticum aestivum (bread wheat). Its description in RNAcentral is "partial small subunit ribosomal RNA". Lineage: Eukaryota; Viridiplantae; Streptophyta; Magnoliopsida; Poales; Poaceae. The record is from RNAcentral.